ACACUGUACGAGUUUGAUCCUGGCUCAGGACGAACGCUGGACGGCAUGCUUAACACAUGCAAGUCGAACGCAGCAUCAGAGCUUGCUUUGAUGGCUGAGUGGCAGACGGGUGAGUAACACGUGGGAACUUACCCUUUAGACUGGGACAACCACUGGAAACGGUGGCUAAUACCGGACACGCCCUGAGGGGGAAAGCAGCAAUGCGCUAAGGGAGAGGCCCGCGGCAGAUUAGGUAGUUGGUGGGGGUAAAGGCCUACCAAGCCUGUGAUCUGUAGCUGGUUUGAGAGGAUGAUCAGCCACACUGGGACUGAGACACGGCCCAGACUCCUACGGGAGGCAGCAGUGGGGAAUAUUGGACAAUGGGGGAAACCCUGAUCCAGCAAUGCCGCGUGAAUGAAGAAGGCCUUAGGGUUGUAAAGUUCUUUUGUCCGUGACGAUAAUGACGGUAGCGGACGAAUAAGCCCUGGCUAACUCUGUG
RNAcentral lists this ribosomal RNA (478 nucleotides) under uncultured bacterium. RNAcentral describes it as "bacterial SSU rRNA". It matches the Rfam family "Bacterial small subunit ribosomal RNA", at positions 1 to 507 of the family's 1533-position model. The record is from RNAcentral.